RNAcentral lists this long non-coding RNA (424 nucleotides) under Androctonus crassicauda. Lineage: Eukaryota; Metazoa; Arthropoda; Arachnida; Scorpiones; Buthidae. The record is from RNAcentral.
GGAAUUUCCCCGACUCUUCGGCAGAGGCGAGCGAUGGUUUUCACAUCUUUCCCAGUUGCUGAUUCCUUCUUCAACGAUUGUUUUUGGCUGACGACAGUUCCUCUCCUGACGACUUGCGUCUGUCUUUCUUGGUCCAACUCCUUUUCUUUUGUCCCCCGCACAAAAUCUCCCACGACCAUUUUUAUACUGUCUUUCUUGUCUCUGACCUUUCACCUCUCGACAAGGAGACGAUUGCCAGAUAGUUUGGUCAUUUGUUUCUAACGCAAUGCCUGUGUUUGUAUUCUAACAUGAUUUAAUUCAUUCGGGACACAUGUUCACAGGCCCGGUUUCAUAUGACCACGUGUCACAAUGCGAUCUCUCUUUCUCUCUCCGCAUUUCCUUUCCGUUCUCCCCUUUAAAAAUAAAGAGGGAAAAUAAUAACAAC